RNAcentral lists this long non-coding RNA (313 nucleotides) under Nicotiana benthamiana. Its description in RNAcentral is "long non-coding RNA (NBEN_LNC035713)". The record is from RNAcentral. Lineage: Eukaryota; Viridiplantae; Streptophyta; Magnoliopsida; Solanales; Solanaceae.
UUCAUACGGCGGGAGUCAUUGGUCCAAAUCCAAUAGUAGGUAAAACUUAUUAGAUACCAGAGUCAAUGGUAUCUAAUAAGGUUUACGACCCACCCUUAGUGAUAUUGAUUUUUUGAUUUAUCCAAUAGUAGGUAAAACUUAUUAGAUACCAGAGUCAAUGGUAUCUAAUAAGGUUUACGACCCACCCUUAGUUAUAUUGAUUUUUUGAUUUUGUAUCUUUUCUAUUUCAUUUUUGAAUUUGAAUUUUUGCAUCAGAAUUGGAUUCUGUUUGAUUGUAUUUGAUUUUAUUCACCCUACAGAAUCUAAAUAGGAG